GACGGCAAUGAGUGACAACAAGAAAGUGUGGCAAGAGAUUGUAGCAACAGAAGGACUAGUAGAGACAGAGAUGGAAGAUCUGGCCAAUUGGGAGUUCUUGGAUGUCUUGUUUCGUUGUCCAGUGAAACUGCUCGGGAAUCGAGAGAAGGCUAAUCGGCUGGGUUUUACCAUGAGAUGCAAAACAAUGGAAUCAAUCUUGUAUUGGAUUGAUUCCAUGAGGAGUGACAAAUUAAUUCCUUAAUCUUUCAUUAGAUCUUUAAUUUGGGAUUUUG
This 272-nucleotide unclassified non-coding RNA is filed under the name Hevea brasiliensis (rubber tree). The record is from RNAcentral. Lineage: Eukaryota; Viridiplantae; Streptophyta; Magnoliopsida; Malpighiales; Euphorbiaceae.